RNAcentral lists this ribosomal RNA (447 nucleotides) under uncultured bacterium. RNAcentral describes it as "partial 16S ribosomal RNA". It matches the Rfam family "Bacterial small subunit ribosomal RNA", at positions 29 to 523 of the family's 1533-position model. The record is from RNAcentral.
AACGAACGCUGGCGGCAGGCUUAACACAUGCAAGUCGAGCGCCCCGCAAGGGGAGCGGCAGACGGGUGAGUAACACGUGGGAACCUUCCUAGAGGUACGGAACAACUCAGGGAAACUUGAGCUAAUACCGUAUACGCUCUUGCGAGGAAAGAUUUAUCGCCUUUAGACGGGCCCGCGUCGGAUUAGCUAGUUGGUGGGGUAACGGCCUACCAAGGCGACGAUCCGUAGCUGAUCUGAGAGGAUGAUCAGCCACACUGGGACUGAGACACGGCCCAGACUCCUACGGGAGGCAGCAGUGGGGAAUCUUGGACAAUGGGCGCAAGCCUGAUCCAGCCAUGCCGCGUGAGUGAAGAAGGCCUUCGGGUUGUAAAGCUCUUUUGCCAGGGACGAUAAUGACGGUACCACCAGAAGAAGCCCCGGCUAACUCCGUGCCAGCCGCCGCCGUAA